RNAcentral lists this ribosomal RNA (497 nucleotides) under uncultured bacterium. Its description in RNAcentral is "partial 16S ribosomal RNA". It matches the Rfam family "Bacterial small subunit ribosomal RNA", at positions 28 to 507 of the family's 1533-position model. The record is from RNAcentral.
GACGAACGCUGGCGGCGUGCCUAAUACAUGCAAGUUGAGCGAUGAAGAUUGGUGCUUGCACCAAUUUGAAGAGCAGCGAACGGGUGAGUAACGCGUGGGGAAUCUGCCUUUGAGCGGGGGACAACAUUUGGAAACGAAUGCUAAUACCGCAUAACAACUUUAAACAUAAGUUUUAAGUUUGAAAGAUGCAAUUGCAUCACUCAAAGAUGAUCCCGCGUUGUAUUAGCUAGUUGGUGAGGUAAAGGCGCACCAAGGCGAUGAUACAUAGCCGACCUGAGAGGGUGAUCGGCCACAUUGGGACUGAGACACGGCCCAAACUCCUACGGGAGGCAGCAGUAGGGAAUCUUCGGCAAUGGACGAAAGUCUGACCGAGCAACGCCGCGUGAGUGAAGAAGGUUUUCGGAUCGCAAAACUCUGUUGGUAGAGAAGAACGUUGGUGAGAGUGGAAAGCUCAUCAAGUGACGGUAACUACCCAGAAAGGGACGGCUAACUACGUG